RNAcentral lists this ribosomal RNA (408 nucleotides) under uncultured bacterium. RNAcentral's name for it is "partial 16S ribosomal RNA". It matches the Rfam family "Bacterial small subunit ribosomal RNA", at positions 28 to 526 of the family's 1533-position model. The record is from RNAcentral.
GACGAACGCUGGCGGCGUGCUUAACACAUGCAAGUCGAACGAAGUGGCGAACGGGUGAGUAACGCGUAAUCAACCUGCCCUUCAGAGGGGGACAACAGGUGGAAACGACUGCUAAUACCGCAUACUGAAGGAGGGGAAUGCGUCAGAUUCGCUAGUUGGAGGGGUAACGGUCCACCAAGGCGAUGAUCAGUAGCCGGUCUGAGAGGAUGAACGGCACCCUUGGCGCUGAGACACGGCCCAUACUCCUACGGGAGGCAGUAGUGGGGAAUCUUCCGCAAUGGACGAAAGUCUGACGGAGCAACUCCGCGUGAGUGAUGACGGCCUUCGGGUUGUAAAGCUCUGUUAUUCGGGACGCGGUACCGGAAUAGAAAGCCACGGCUAACUACGUGACAGCAGCCGCGGUAAUUC